Molecule: long non-coding RNA, 560 nt
Organism: Sinocyclocheilus grahami
Lineage: Eukaryota; Metazoa; Chordata; Actinopteri; Cypriniformes; Cyprinidae
Exons: 4
Source: RefSeq, a predicted model, not a curated record
UUCGUACGUCACUGAACGGCAGCCAAUCAACGUAAAGUGCUGAAGCCUACGCUGAUUUGACGCUGGCCAGUGACGUGCGUGGUGGGCGUGUCCCGCCGUCACACGAAGAGAAACACAACACAAGCGAGAUCGAGUUGCAGGCCGAGGCAAGAUUAUAUAAUGAAAACUGAUCAUGUCUUCUCCAGAUAUUGCUUCUUUAUCCUGGGGCCACAUGAAGGUCAAAGGUUGCUCCACAUCCUACAAAGACUGUAAAGUGUGGCCGGGUGGCAGCCGAGCCUGGGGCUGGCGUGAAACCGGCACAGAUCAUUAUCCAGGCGUCCAGCCGGCCGACCUGGAAGAGGUUCUGAGGAAGGAGUGAAGCUCUACAGGUGCCUCCAUCCACCCUAGAUUACGUGAAGAAGCAGGGUGUUGAUGUCAGGGUGUUUCAGACCGAGCAGGCCGUUACAGAAUAUAAUGCUCUGGUGGGACAGGGAGCUAAAGUCGGCGGGGUCUUCCACUCCACCUGCUGAUCACAUCAUUAAAAUAAUCAGCUAAUUCAUUUAAUUGGUUGUUUAAAGUGC